UUGCGGGUGGUGUUGCGUUUAUGCGUGAAGCUUGGGUCCGUGUGCGCAUCCCGGAACCUCCCGUCUGCAA
RNAcentral lists this non-coding RNA (70 nucleotides) under unclassified sequences. RNAcentral describes it as "S6-S18-Chlorobi ribosomal protein leader". It matches the Rfam family "S6-S18-Chlorobi ribosomal protein leader". The record is from RNAcentral.